This 492-nucleotide ribosomal RNA is filed under the name uncultured bacterium. Its description in RNAcentral is "partial 16S ribosomal RNA". It matches the Rfam family "Bacterial small subunit ribosomal RNA", at positions 29 to 507 of the family's 1533-position model. The record is from RNAcentral.
AUUGAACGCUGGCGGCAUGCUUUACACAUGCAAGUCGAACGGUAACAGGCCUUCGGGUGCUGACGAGUGGCGAACGGGUGAGUAAUGCAUCGGAACGUACCCAGAGGUGGGGGAUAACGCAGCGAAAGCUGUGCUAAUACCGCAUGUGAUCUGAGGAUGAAAGCGGGGGACCGAGCAGCAAUGUUUGGCCUCGCGCCUUUGGAGCGGCCGAUGUCGGAUUAGCUAGUUGGUGGGGUAAAGGCCUACCAAGGCGACGAUCCGUAGCUGGUCUGAGAGGACGACCAGCCACACUGGGACUGAGACACGGCCCAGACUCCUACGGGAGGCAGCAGUGGGGAAUUUUGGACAAUGGGCGCAAGCCUGAUCCAGCAAUGCCGCGUGCGGGAAGGAGGCCUUCGGGUUGUAAACCGCUUUUGGCAGGAACGAAACGGUGUCCGCUAAUACCGGGCGCUAAUGACGGUACCUGCAGAAUAAGCACCGGCUAACUACGUG